RNAcentral lists this ribosomal RNA (406 nucleotides) under uncultured bacterium. Its description in RNAcentral is "partial 16S ribosomal RNA". It matches the Rfam family "Bacterial small subunit ribosomal RNA", at positions 30 to 526 of the family's 1533-position model. The record is from RNAcentral.
AUUGAACGCUGGCGGCAGGCCUAACACAUGCAAGUCGAACGAGUGGCGGACGGGUGAGUAAUGUCUGGGAAACUUCCUGAUGGCGGGGGAUAACUACUGGCAACGGUAGCUAAUACCGCAUACCAUCAGAUGUGCUCCGAUGGGAUUAGCUAGUUGGUGGGGUAACGGCUCACCAAGGCGACGAUCCCUAGCUGGUCUGAGAGGAUGACCAGCCAAACUGGAACUGAGACACGGUGCAGAAUCAGACGGGAGGCAGCAGUGGGGAAUAUUGCAAAAUGGGCGCAAGCCUGAUGAAGCCAUGCCGCGUGUAUGAAGAAGGCCUUCGGGUUGUAAAGGACUUUCAGCGGGGAGGCGUUACCCGCAGAAGAAGAACCGGCUAACUACGUGCAAGCAGCCGCGGUAAUAC